This is a long non-coding RNA of Pseudophryne corroboree (corroboree frog), 1725 nucleotides long. RefSeq lists it as uncharacterized. The transcript is spliced from 3 exons. NCBI's taxonomy places the organism in Eukaryota, Metazoa, Chordata, Amphibia, Anura, Myobatrachidae. The record is from RefSeq and is a predicted model, not a curated record.
CUGCUGCAGCUGUUGUAGCGGGUUGCCAUGCCAUCGCCUCCUGGACGAUGGGCGCAGCGUGAUUGUGUCAUUGGCACCCGGAAUUGACGGGAUACCGGAAGUGUGGGCGGCCCUCGCUCUGAUGGCAGUACGGAAUGCAGGGACACACUUUGGUUUCUGUAAGGUAUAAAGAUAUGUCUCUGGAUCAAGACAUAGCCUUCAUCACCGGCUUACUAGACAUGUCUAUGGAAGGUCAAAGUUAAGGGGUAUUUCGAUAAAGUGCAAUGGAAUGCGGCCUUGGAGGAGCUAGUGGAGUACUGCAGGCCCUUUGUGUCCGGUGCUAACAAUGAAUGGGUCAUUAAAAAGAUACAGAACCUGCAUACUGUGUUCCUGAAAGAACACAAGAAAAUGCAACAGUCCAAAAGGUCUGGAGCAGGUUCUUCCCAGGUUUACAAGACCUCGCUCUGGUACUACCCCAUGCUGGAGUUUGUCCUGGACCAGGAGCCUACCCGGAAGGUUUCACCUCCCUCCCUCGGACUGCCACACCAGAGCCUGAAGACGGUGACCUAUCUUUGCAUCUAGUGGAAGUGUGGAGAUUCCCGCCACCCCAGACCUCAGCAUCAUCCAGGAUACGGAAGAAUCCCAGCCCCAAGUUCCUACCUCUGAAACACCAGCUACCUCUGAUACCUCUGUAUCACCAGUUCCUCCGGCGCACCCCCGGAAGAGAACACACACAAAAAAAACACACCGACCAGGAGGGUGAAGACAUUAUAUUUCAAGAGAUCAAGGCAAGACUUGCCCAGCCCCCCCCCCCCCUUCCCCCCUUCCCUCCCACUACUCAAAAUUUGGGGAAUUUACAGCCUCUGCAAGGGGUAACCUACCCCCGGGUCAAGUGGAGCAGAUUCAGCGUCUCAAUUCAAAGAUGCUGAACAAAGCACAAAAAUCCAAACUCCAUGAUGAUGUCAUACUAUUCGACCACCGCCCUCUCACUCUUCCUCUCACCCAGUCCCAUCCUAUUCCACCCCACCCAACCCCAUCUCAUUCCACCAACCCAACCACAGCCUACUCCUCACCCACCUGCUCCUCAGCCAUAUACUCUGCUAUGCUGGAGGCAGAGGAGGACAUGACCCAGUUUGAAAAUUUGUAGGCAUCUUAUAAUUCCCAAUAAAUAUUUGCGGUAUAGGCUAUAUGGUGUUUUGGGGGCAGAUUUUUUGGGGAGGAUGCUGUAGGUGCAUAAUAAUGGGUCCGGGCCCUAAUCAUUCUGCACUUUACAGCAUGUGUGUAUUCUCCCAAUCAAAUCAGUGCCCAAAACACCAUAUAGCCCUCCAUCUUAAAGUACCGCACCAUAUUUAUUGGGAAUUAGAACAUUGUUAAUGGCCUUGUUUUAAAGUUAGUAAUUCCCAAUAAAUAUGGUGCGGUAUAGGCUAUAUGGUGUUUUGGGGCCAGAGUUUUGGGGUAGGACACACGCAUGCUGUAGGUGCAUAAUAAUGGGGCCGGGACCAUUCAUUCUGCACUUUACAGCAUGUGUGUAUUCUCCCAAUCAAAUCUGUGCCCAAAACGCCAUAUAGCCCUCCAUCUUUUAGGAGGGAAAGUACCGCCCCAUAUUUAUUGGGAAUUACUGUUAUUUAAUCCUUUUAAUUAUUUCAUUAUCUAUCUAUCUAUUUAUCUAUCUAUCUAAAUGUCUAAAUUGUGAUAUGAUGUUUUUUACAUUUCUAUGUGCCAUGUUGGCAAAUAAUUUCAUAAAUU